RNAcentral lists this ribosomal RNA (253 nucleotides) under uncultured Bellilinea sp. Its description in RNAcentral is "partial 16S ribosomal RNA". It matches the Rfam family "Bacterial small subunit ribosomal RNA", at positions 524 to 776 of the family's 1533-position model. The record is from RNAcentral. Lineage: Bacteria; Bacillati; Chloroflexota; Anaerolineae; Anaerolineales; Anaerolineaceae.
AACGUAGGAGCCAAGCGUUAUCCGAAUUCACUGGGCGUAAAGCGCGUGCAGGCGGUUAGGUAAGUUGGAUGUGAAAUCGCCCGGCUCAACUGGGCGAGGUCGUUCAAAACUGCCUGACUGGAGGACGGUAGAGGGAGGUGGAAUUCCCGGUGUAGUGGUGAAAUGCGUAGAGAUCGGGAGGAACACCAGUGGCGAAGGCGGCCUCCUGGACCGGACCUGACGCUCAGACGCGAAAGCUAGGGGAGCGAACGGG